RNAcentral lists this long non-coding RNA (1209 nucleotides) under Ananas comosus (pineapple). Its description in RNAcentral is "long non-coding RNA (ACOM_LNC008076)". The record is from RNAcentral. Lineage: Eukaryota; Viridiplantae; Streptophyta; Magnoliopsida; Poales; Bromeliaceae.
AGAGCUCCAUGUAUGACACUCUUUUAAGGCAGUGUUUGGUUAGGGAAUAGGUAUAGAAAUAGGAAUAGAUUCUUAUCUUCUUCUUUAUAUCCAAAUGUUAAUUUUUUAUCCGAGAAUAGUAGUUCUGGGUUAUCCCCACCAACACCUUCAUUUUCUAUAUAAAAUUACUUAAAAUUGUUCUUAUUCCCGAAAACAAUCCAAUUUUCAUCCAAACACUAUUUUUCUUAUUCCCAUACUUGUAUCUAUCCCUGUAAUAGCUAGUUCUUACUUAUACCCGAACCAAACGGUACCUUAAGGAAUAAGGAUUUAAAAUAGUAUUAUAUAAAAGAUAUAAUAAGACUAAAUUUUUUUAUUCGACUACAAUAUUUUAGACGGUGGAUAGUCUCAAAAGAUUAAGAAAGUUAAGCGCGGCAGGACUAGAAUAGUUCAAUGAUAGAUGACUUCCUAAGAAACGGGGCACACACUGUGCUCGUAAGUCAUUUUCGCUGACAUGGGAAUCUGAAUUAAAAAUUGGUUCUCUUAAACUUGAAAAUUAAAAUCUUAUAAAAAAUAAUGAUGUAACAUUAAAUUUUUAUAUCAUAGAUAUUGAUUUUAUUGUAAAUAAUAUAAAAAUUUUUCUAUCAAAAUUUUAUCUCAUUUGAAUAUUUCUACACCAUCAAAUUUGUAAAUAAUUGUACAUAUCAACUAUUAAAAAUUAUUAAUUUUGAUAUCAUCCAAUCAAAAAUAAAAAAUUCAUAAAAAUUAUUUUCUAAAUAUUUAAAUACGCUAAAUCAAUUAUAACAUAACCAAUCGUUCAUUUCAAAGUCCCACUAUGAAAAUUACUUAGGACUAUUACGGAAACAAGUUAGGGCCCAUUUGGUAUUAAAGUGUAUCGAGUGCUAAACUGCUAAUAAAUAAAAUAGAGUUGAAAAAAAUAUAUAGAAAUAUCCUUUUAUAUUUUCUGAAAGAAUCGUAGAGAAUAUAUCGUAACCUAUAUAUUUAAACCUACAUAUUUAUCGCGAUAUAGGAUGGAAUCGUAAAAUAUAUAUCGUAAUUAACUUAUUACGUUCUACCGGCGAAACGUGAUAUUAUGUACGAAGAUAAAUAUAAUAUUUUUUUUCAUAUUUUUUUAUCACGUAUAAAAUAAUUUUCUCGCAAUUUAAAACGACGCAGCAAUAUGAUAAGAAGCCAAAUAUUUCUAGUAAUAAAUAAUUUCAUAUACGAAAAAAA